This 253-nucleotide ribosomal RNA is filed under the name uncultured bacterium. RNAcentral describes it as "partial 16S ribosomal RNA". It matches the Rfam family "Bacterial small subunit ribosomal RNA", at positions 524 to 776 of the family's 1533-position model. The record is from RNAcentral.
UACGGAGGGUGCAAGCGUUAUCCGGAUUCACUGGGUUUAAAGGGUGCGUAGGUGGGCAGGUAAGUCAGUGGUGAAAUCUCCGGGCUUAACCCGGAAACUGCCGUUGAUACUAUUUGUCUUGAAUAUUGUGGAGGUAAGCGGAAUAUGUCAUGUAGCGGUGAAAUGCUUAGAUAUGACAUAGAACACCAAUUGCGAAGGCAGCUUACUACACAACGAUUGACGCUGAGGCACGAAAGCCAGGGGAGCGAACGGG